MicroRNA precursor from Microtus ochrogaster (prairie vole), 97 nucleotides. The record is from Ensembl. Lineage: Eukaryota; Metazoa; Chordata; Mammalia; Rodentia; Cricetidae.
CAACCUCCGCAGGUUGGCUACUGGGCCCCAGGCAUCUCUGGGCGAGUACCUCUUUGAGCGGCUCACUCUCAAGCAUGACUAGGAGGCCUCUGGUUCC